GGAGACGCAGAGGAAGAGUGAGAUAGCGAUGGAGGGAAGGGUGGGGGAGGGGAGGGGGGAGGGGGGGGGGCUAUUUUAAGAACGUGAUAGGGAGAAGGCCGCUGCGCCCUCCUCCGGGCCCACGUCACGGAUCAGAUCAACUCUGCGACCUGCCGGCCCCCGAUCACGUGACCCGAAGUGACCUUGGAUAUCAGGGCGAACUUUGUGUCACGAGCAAAAAAAACAAAGGGAGGAAGGUGUAAAAGCAGAAACAGAGAGUAAAAAAAAUAAUUAAGCGGGAGUGUGGACGCAAGGACCAAGCCCGGAGAACGGAAGGACGAUGGGAGAGCGAUGUAAACUCAGCCAAGAAUGAAUUAGCCCGCAGCCUCGGCUGCCCCUAAGCCCAGGAUGGAGGAGGAUUAGUGGGCAGGGAUUCUGGAGUGUGUGUGUGUGUGUGGAAGUAUUCAACCGAGUGGGAGGAGAGCAGGGCGAUUUGGUUUAAAAAAAAAAAAAAAACAGCUUUCUCCAACAAAGGAAAUUCCUGCAUCUGGCAUUCAUCGCUGCGUGCUGAACGCGCAGGUUCCCCCCGCCGCUAUCUCCUAUCGGCUCCGCUUCGGUGCAAAAGUGCCCGGGAGUACUGGCGCACAUCGCAACGCGUUGCUCUGAAAUUGAUUUGGUGGUCCCCUCCACGAAUCGCUGACCUCAAAGAACACCGAUGCGGCUCAGUGAACGGGCGGUGCCCAUAUAUAUUCCUCUAUUCUCUAUUUCACCAGAAGUAAUUUGCGAGAAGUCCAUUCUGCAUUGCCAAAAACACCUACCCAGCCACCCACACUCACUGCCCUCCGUCCUUUUUUUCUCCCUCUCUCUGGCUCUGUCACUAGCUCUGCUAUUUCAUACACUUCUGGCUGACACCCAACCUUUGUCGGACCACCAGUGUGCCUGUGGCACCGCACCGUACAGACGAAUAAACAAACGGAUAGAGCUGACACCCGCCUGGCUUGGCCGAGUUUCGCGGCUAUAAAGGUUCGUAUCGUGCCCGGCUUGUGUCUCGUGGGUGGAUUUCAUUAGCUUAUUUAGCACAUUCAGCCCAGUUCCAGGCCGAGUCCUAUUGUGGCCCCCUGUAGUGUGAGCAGACCGGCUCCGUAAAAAGGCGGCAGUUAUCAGGUCCGCUUUGUGGGGGUGUCGAUUUUUUUGUUGCACCAUUUGGAUUGAGCCGUGCAGUGAGCGGCUGACGUGGCCAGCAUGGUGCGCCGCCACCACGAGCCGCGUGUGGCGUCACAACACAAGGGAGGCCCGCGAACGGGCCGAGCGGUUCGCCACACGCGGCGGACAGGGCGCCAGGCAUCGCGUUACAACCGUGACAGGCGAAGCUGCAACGGUACAUCGUAUUCUCGCAGGAGUCCGCGUGGAGGCUCGGCUCACGGUGCCGCCGCGAUUUCGCAUUACUGGGCUCUUCAGGGGCGCUUCACCUGGGGAUUCAGACCGCAUCUGUUGCCCCUCGGCGGGUUUUUAGACGUGGCCGAUGCUGAGCCGGCGGCUAGCGGCUAACGUAGCGAUUCUGCGAACACGUAAACAAUAAACUGCAGCCAUGCAGAAAAAAGGCCGACCCCUGUUACUUAAUUCAGUGGCUUUCUAUGACCUGUGGUGACGUUUGUUGAUCAACACACUGCUCGUGUCAUACCAUUCACAUGAGGAGAUAAUUGCACAGCGAUUACACACGCAGACUCAUCAACAUUACUUGACACUUGGGAAUGUGUUUGGCGAAGGCCGGAGUGACUAAUGUGUUCUAAAUGUUAUAUCGAAAACACACACAGCGCACCACGCUACUCAUGACAAUUGGGUCCGCGCACACACAAUAACGCAGCCAUACAAUGAUGUUCCGUCUGCAGAAUGAGAGAUGGAUUGUGAAGCGGUUUGGACGCCAUCCAGCUGGCCUCCUGAGCGCCCGCCGCUCCAUCUACAGAGGCUGCAGCGUUGAGUCAUCGCUCGCGGAAAGAACACAAACCUUACAGAACGUACCCGAGCGGAUGUUGUGAUUCACAAAUCAGUCAUUGACCGCCACGUAUGGAAUUUGGGAAACGUACUCUUCUGAGAGUUUCAAUAUAAACUUUUUUUGGGGGGGGAAGAAUGAAAGUCAGCGGGGGAGGUCGUGACUCGCGUUACUGGAAAUAAUGUCCCUGUCGUGGAUGUUCAGACGUUACUGUAAACUGUGCCUGUGACUACAUCAGAGUCCGAUGUGACACUUUUCUUUUCUUGUCCUCUUGUCACGGCACGUUUGUGCACAUUCUCUCCCACCCGGGCCGGCGCUCCGACACUCUCCCUCUUCCUCUCUCUCUGUCUCUCUUUCUCCGUCUCCGGAGCUCGAGAUGUGUCAUCAACCAUUGGAAUCCUUCUGCAGUCGUGGUGACCAGAGGCCCUUCCCACCCCCACCCGACGACUCGCCCUAGAACUCUUCACCAGAACGCAACGUUGGUCCCACUGCACGGCCGGAACAUGUAGCACGGCGCGGGGACGGAGGACAUUAGAGGGGUUUUUUAAAAACACGGAAGCUCCUCGUAGCAAAGUCUGCGAUUUUAUUCACGUCAUCGCGCGCGCUCUCACGCUGUCCCAAGCACGUCCUGUCUGACGCGUCUUCUUUUUUUACAAAUCAGUCUAAUCCGUCGACAUGCAGCGGCUCCCGCCAAGACGAGCGAAUGUGGAUUCCAUCGAGUGCGCGAUGUGUCAUCACGUGUGCCGGUGGAAGUAUGAUUACAUCAUAGGCGUGAUAUGUAGUAUGGGAGUUUCCAGUUUCAACUGUCUCUGCCCAACCGGCUAAGACUUUGUGGGAAUGUAAAAUAAAACCGUUGGAAAUAAAAACGAUUGGUCUCAAUUCAAAAAAAGCUGUGAAACAGUCAGUGGGAUCAAAUCUGUGUGACAGUUUCAUUGUUGUAUAUUUUAAAUGUGUUUAUUCAGUUAUUUAUUAGCUCAUUCUAUAUAUAUAUAGUAAGAAUUGUGUGUGACUUUUAGACAAAAGGAAAAGGUACAUUCAAAUAUUGCAAGAUUUAUAGAAGUAACAAGACAAGACAGUUCUAAAAAAUAAAAAUGUACAAUUAACAUUUAUGUUCACAAGUUGAGAUGCACAUUAAAAUGAAAUGAUAUCUAGGGUCUUUUCAGAGAGACGGUCCGCUGCGUUUCAGUGAAUGGAGAAAAUUCAAUCUUGUCGAAUACGAGCGAAUGUUCCACUUAAAAAGACUUUGAAAAGUUUAUGUUUAAGAAACUACUCACAAAAAAAGAUUUCUCAGUGAGGAAAAUACUACUGUUGUAUUUAUUUAAAUAUUUAUUUCCAGAUCUGGUUCAGCAUCUUUCAGUUUGAAAUGGACUCACAAUUCAAUCUCCUUCUCCAGUCUGCGGCUCGUUGGAAAAGGGCCGAACGUCCAACCUAAUUCAGAAACUUUAUCCACUUACACUAACGGGCACUUUAGGCUGCAGUCAAUACCAGCUCACAUGCAACUCUGCAAUCAAAUCAGAGACACGUAAAGAUCCCGGGCCCAGUUUUAGUCAAAGAUCAAGGGGCGAAGGCCGGGACAGGAGCCGGUCCGGCCGCAUCGAGGUGUCAGACGGUGACGAGGCGCUGCAAAGGCCGGACUUGUGACCCCCCACUGUGUGUGUCGGCGCGCGUGCGGGGGUAUGCGUGGGCUUCUCGUGGCGCGCGGUGUGGUGCUGCGAAGGCGGCGAGGUGUGUCCGUCCCACUCACAGCCGCUCGGCGUGAAUCAGGGAGGAAACGGCGGCGGGCUGAGAACGUCGGGGCACGGUUCAUUUCUCCUCCCCAGGCAGAGGGCGGCCCACUGGUGACUUUGAUGGAUAGGAAUGCUGCUCACCCACCCACACACACACACACACACACACACGCGCCCACGCAUGUCCCACACACCAUGUCUCGCACACGGCACACAGGAAUCACACGCAGGCUGCUCUGUCCCACCAGAUCUGAUAUCCGAUGAGAGAUGUUUACGACCCGCCCCCACACGGCCUUCCUCCCCUGUCAAUAAACUCUUCCCAGAAGUAUGAUGAUGCAUUAUCCCGUAGCCGCUUAUGGGCUUCGCUCUUGCAUCCUCCAUCACCGGCUCACCCAUGUGCAUCCUGCUGCAGCAUGCAGCACACAAAGGGGUGGAGG
Long non-coding RNA from Gasterosteus aculeatus aculeatus (three-spined stickleback), 4133 nucleotides. The record is from Ensembl. Lineage: Eukaryota; Metazoa; Chordata; Actinopteri; Perciformes; Gasterosteidae.